CAGUCCUUCACCUUUUAUUUGGGGUGGGGGGGGGUGUCCCCAAUUCCCUUUUGGGGGCCUUUUGGGGCCAUUUAUUGGACAUUUGGGGCCAUUAUGGGGCCAUUUGAGUCCAUUUGGGGCCGUUUAUGGGAUUCUUGGGGCCAUUUGGGGCCGUUUAUGGGAUUCUUGGGGCCAUUAUGGGGCCAUUUGGGGCCAUUUAAUGGACAUUUGGGGGCCAUUUUGGGGCCAUUUGGGGCCAUUUAUGGGAUUCUUGGGGCCAUUUGGGGUCAUUUAUUGGACAUUUGGGGUCCAUUUUGGGGCCAUUUGGGGCCAUUUAUGGGAUUCUUGGGGCCAUUUUGGGGCCAUUUGAGGCCAUUUUGGGGCCAUUUAUGGGAUUCUUGGGGCCAUUUGGGGUCAUUUAUGGGAUUCUUGGGGCCAUUUGGGGCCGUUUAUGGGACUCUUGGGGCCAUUUGGGGCCGUUUAUGGGAUUCUUGGGGCCACUUAUGGGAUUCUUGGGGCCUUUAUGGGGCCAUUUGGGGCCAUUUAUUGGACAUUUGGGGUCCAUUUUGGGGCUAUUUGAGGCCAUUUGGGGCCAUUUAUGGGACAUAUGGGGCCAUUUGGGGCCGUUUAUGGGAUUCUUGGGCCAUUUGGGGCCAUUUAUUGGACAUAUGGGGCCAUUUUGGGGCUAUUUGGGGCCAUUUUGGGGCCAUUUGGGGCCAUUUGGGGUCCCUUCUUGCUGUCCCCACCCCAUUGAUUCCCCUAUAAAGACACACAGCUGUG
RNAcentral lists this long non-coding RNA (759 nucleotides) under Coturnix japonica (Japanese quail). Its description in RNAcentral is "lncRNA (ENSCJPG00005001836.1)". The record is from RNAcentral. Lineage: Eukaryota; Metazoa; Chordata; Aves; Galliformes; Phasianidae.